ACGAAUUCAUUUAUCCAAUCAGCUUCGGACUUGGAUCAAGAAUUUUGUGCCCAGUGUUUUACGUGACCGAAAAGGCGUGGAAUUAUUAUCCGUUCACCAUCACUGAAUACUUGGUGAAAAGGAUUGUCCACUGACCUUAGAUUGUCCACUGACCUUGCAUUGUCGAGUUCCAGGCAGGCAAAGGUUGUCAUCACAUCAAAGUAUUUCGUAUCCUGUUUUCCAAUGUUUCUUUGUGCCUCGAUUCUUCAUUUCCAUGCCAACCCGAUAUGAGAAUAACCCAGGCACUAGCGAAAAUUUUCACGCAAACUGUCAGAUGAGAUGCUCAAUCUACUGGAUGUCGACCAUAUCGAUAUCCUAUCCCUAUGGGGUUCCUCUCCAUCCCCACAAGAAAACCCCUGACUUGGGGAAAAUUCCAUUCCCACAAAACCGGCCAAGGCCCCUUAGUCGAGAUUUGGAAGGAGACCUCGGAUCCCAUCAUGAGCUCAUACAAAGCGGUGGAAGUGAGAUUGGAUGUGUGGGGCAUCUAGGGCCGUGUGGAAGAUUUCAUUCAUAUAGUAUGUGUCCAUACUGGGAUUUUCCGCACUCGUAUCCAGCCGAGAGAUUUUGGUAUGGUAUGACCAUUGAAAAUGUCAGAGAAUAUUAAUUGGAAAUGCAAUCGGAAACGAACGCUCGGAUGUAAGACGAUAUAAAGGAAGAGCACGACGAGUUCGAUUUCUCCCAACCUCCCUCGGGAAAGGUUACGUCAAGUACUCCAGUCUCCUCGAAAGAAUGGUUCUCUUGGUUCUGAUGCCCCUGGUACCUCGCUCACACUUUAAGUCACAUUCAACGAUCAACCAA
Long non-coding RNA from Tigriopus californicus, 837 nucleotides. RefSeq lists it as uncharacterized. The record is from RefSeq and is a predicted model, not a curated record. The transcript is spliced from 4 exons. NCBI's taxonomy places the organism in Eukaryota, Metazoa, Arthropoda, Copepoda, Harpacticoida, Harpacticidae.